Molecule: non-coding RNA, 118 nt
Filed under: Durinskia baltica
Lineage: Eukaryota; Dinophyceae; Peridiniales; Kryptoperidiniaceae
Source: RNAcentral
UGACUACAGGGGACUCUAAGCCCUCAUCGAGCGCUGAAUCAGGAGCUGGCGCAGGAGCUGGGGAUAAGGUGGUUGCUUUUGAAGGAGAGGAGGGGGCUGGAAAAGGAGCAGUGAAGAC